This 511-nucleotide ribosomal RNA is filed under the name uncultured bacterium. Its description in RNAcentral is "bacterial SSU rRNA". It matches the Rfam family "Bacterial small subunit ribosomal RNA", at positions 1 to 508 of the family's 1533-position model. The record is from RNAcentral.
UUAGGGUUUGAUUCUGGCUCAGGAUGAACGCUAGCGGCAGGCUUAACACAUGCAAGUCGAGGGGUAACAGGGAAAAGCUUGCUUUUUUGCUGACGACCGGCGAACGGGUGCGUAACGCGUAUAGAAUCUGCCUUGUACAGGAGGAUAGCCUUUAGAAAUGAAGAUUAAUACUCCAUAGUGUAUAGAAGUGGCAUCACUUUUUUACUAAAGAUUUAUUGGUACAAGAUGACUAUGCGUCCUAUUAGCUAGAUGGUAAGGUAACGGCUUACCAUGGCUACGAUAGGUAGGGGGUCUGAGAGGACUAUCCCCCACACUGGUACUGAGACACGGACCAGACUCCUACGGGAGGCAGCAGUGAGGAAUAUUGGUCAAUGGAGGCAACUCUGAACCAGCCAUGCCGCGUGCAGGAAGACUGCCCUAUGGGUUGUAAACUGCUUUUAUACGGGAAGAAACAACUCUACGUGUAGAGUCUUGACGGUACCGUAAGAAUAAGCACCGGCUAACUCCGUGC